RNAcentral lists this ribosomal RNA (470 nucleotides) under uncultured bacterium. RNAcentral describes it as "bacterial SSU rRNA". It matches the Rfam family "Bacterial small subunit ribosomal RNA", at positions 355 to 841 of the family's 1533-position model. The record is from RNAcentral.
UGGGGAAUCUUGGACAAUGGGGGCAACCCUGAUCCAGCCAUGCCGCGUGAGUGAUGAAGGCCUUAGGGUCGUAAAGCUCUUUCGCCUGUGAAGAUAAUGACGGUAGCAGGUAAAGAAACCCCGGCUAACUCCGUGCCAGCAGCCGCGGUAAUACGGAGGGGGUUAGCGUUGUUCGGAAUUACUGGGCGUAAAGCGCACGUAGGCGGACCAGAAAGUUGGGGGUGAAAUCCCGGGGGCUCAACCCCGGAACUGCCUCCAAAACUAUUGGUCUAGAGUUCGAGAGAGGUGAGUGGAAUUCCAAGUGUAGAGGUGAAAUUCGUAGAUAUUUGGAGGAACACCAGUGGCGAAGGCGGCUCACUGGCUCGAUACUGACGCUGAGGUGCGAAAGUGUGGGGAGCAAACAGGAUUAGAUACCCUGGUAGUCCACGCCGUAAAACGAUGUCUGCUAGUCGUUGGGGGCGUAGCCCUUC